AUUAAUCGACAUGCAUAAAGUAAUCAUGAUCUACCUAUUAUAAUAUUCAAUAUAUUAAAUUUAUUCUUGAAUAUCUAUUUUACAAAUAUAUAAGAACGUAUAUAUUGAUCACCAUAAAAAAUAAUAAAAAAACAAAUCUAAUUAAUUAAACCCUAACACAUGACCGUUGAAAUUAACCCUAAAUCUCAAACCCCAAAACCUCUAACCCCUAAAUUAACCUUAAAUCCCCAAUUACCUUAAAUCUAUACCCCGUACUCA
This 258-nucleotide long non-coding RNA is filed under the name Gossypium raimondii (Peruvian cotton). RNAcentral describes it as "long non-coding RNA (GRAI_LNC008851)". The record is from RNAcentral. Lineage: Eukaryota; Viridiplantae; Streptophyta; Magnoliopsida; Malvales; Malvaceae.